This 258-nucleotide ribosomal RNA is filed under the name uncultured bacterium. RNAcentral's name for it is "partial 16S ribosomal RNA". It matches the Rfam family "Bacterial small subunit ribosomal RNA", at positions 338 to 610 of the family's 1533-position model. The record is from RNAcentral.
CCUACGGGAGGCAGCAGUGGGGAAUAUUGGGCAAUGGGCGCAAGCCUGACCCAGCAACGCCGCGUGAAGGAAGAAGGCUUUCGGGUUGUAAACUUCUUUUCUCAGGGACGAAGAAAGUGACGGUACCUGAGGAAUAAGCAACGGCUAACUACGUGCCGGCAGCCGCGGUAAUACGAAGGGGGCAAGCGUUGUUCGGAAUUACUGGGCGUAAAGGGAGUGUAGGCGGUUUAGGAAGAUAGUGGUGAAAUCCCGGAGCUU